AUCAAAUCAUUGAAAUAAAAAUUAUCCAUUCUGAUUCUGAUUCGAAAUCCCGACUCUCUCCAAUCAAGUAUCUCUUUAGAUAUUUAAAUAAUAUUUAUUUAUUUAUUUGUUUGUUUUUUCUUUCCUCUAAUAAUAGGUAUUUGAACAACCUUCACAUUUGCCUUCACAUACUAGCCAGAAGAGAUCUGCUGCGUAUAUAAAAAAAAGGCCUGUUGCCGUCAUGUGAUCAUCGUUGGGCUUUUCCUUUAUUCUUCUUUAAGUCGUAGUCAUAUUUUUUUGAAAUAAAAAUUACUACAACCAAGACAAAGCCGGAAUCUUUCCUUUUCUUUUGUUUUAACCCAAUUUUGGUGGAGGGCAACUUGC
RNAcentral lists this long non-coding RNA (363 nucleotides) under Elaeis guineensis (African oil palm). RNAcentral describes it as "long non-coding RNA (EGUI_LNC022485)". Lineage: Eukaryota; Viridiplantae; Streptophyta; Magnoliopsida; Arecales; Arecaceae. The record is from RNAcentral.